GGUAGUCCUAGCCGUAAACGAUGGAUACUAGGCGUUGAGAGUAUAGACCCUCUCAGUGCGCGUAGCUAACGCGUUAACGUAUCCCCGCGGGGGGAGUACGCACGCAGAGUGUGAAUCUCAAAGAAAAUUGACGGGGGGCGCGCACACGCGGUGGAGUAUGUGGUUUAAUGAGAUGCAACGCGAAGAACCUUACCAGGGCUUGACAUGUCUGGAACUCUGGGGGAACUCGGAGGUGCCUUCGGGAGCCAGAACACACAGGUGCAUGGCUGUCGUCAGCUCGUGUCGUGAGAUGUUGGGGUAAUUAGCGCAACGAGCGCAACCACCCUACCUAGUUGCCAGCAUUUUUGAUGGGCAAUCUAUGGAGGGAGCCGGGGACAAACCGGAGGAAGAAGGGGGGGAUGUCAAGUCGUCAUCAUCCUUAUGUCGGGGGGGGCUCCACUCGUACAACAAUGGGGACAACAGGCAGCAGCGAAAGGAAGUCAAGCAAAUAACAGAAAAAAGGGGUCAGUUCAGAUAGCAGGUGCAACUCGCCUGCGUGAAGGAGGGGAAUCGUAGUAAAGCAGGUCAGCAUUGUGCAGUGAAUUCGUUCCCGGGCCUUGUACACACACCGCGUCACACCAUGGGGGAGGGUCACGCCCGAAGGGGGUACCGCUAACCGCAGGGGAGGGGGACGACGAAGGUAUAGUCAGCGAUUGGUUGU
RNAcentral lists this ribosomal RNA (700 nucleotides) under Westiellopsis prolifica. RNAcentral describes it as "partial 16S ribosomal RNA". It matches the Rfam family "Bacterial small subunit ribosomal RNA", at positions 789 to 1483 of the family's 1533-position model. Lineage: Bacteria; Bacillati; Cyanobacteriota; Cyanophyceae; Nostocales; Hapalosiphonaceae. The record is from RNAcentral.